GAGUUUGAUCCUGGCUCAGAACGAACGCUGGCGGCAGGCCUAACACAUGCAAGUCGAACGAAGUCUUCGGACUUAGUGGCAGACGGGUGAGUAACGCGUGGGAACCUACCUGGAGGUUCGGAAUAACUCGGGGAAACUCGGGCUAAUACCGGAUACGCCCUUACGGGGAAAGAUUUAUCGCCUUUAGAUGGGCCCGCGUUGGAUUAGCUUGUUGGUGAGGUAAAAGCUCACCAAGGCGACGAUCCAUAGCUGGUCUGAGAGGAUGAUCAGCCACACUGGGACUGAGACACGGCCAGACUCCUACGGGAGGCAGCAGUGAGGAAUAUUCGGCAAUGGGCGCAAGCCUGACCGAGCCAUGCCGCGUGAGUGAAGAAGGCCCUAGGGUUGUAAAGCUCUUUCACCGAUGAAGAUAAUGACGGUAGUCGGAGAAGAAGCCCCGGCUAACUUCGUGCCAGCAGCCGCGGUAAUACGAAGGGGGCUAGCGUUGUUCGGAAUUACUGGGCGUAAAGCGGCCACGGUAGGGCGGAUUGUUUAGUCAGGGGGUGAAAUCCCGGGGGCUCAACCCCGGGGAACUGCCUCUGGAUACUGGCAAUCUC
RNAcentral lists this ribosomal RNA (596 nucleotides) under uncultured bacterium. RNAcentral describes it as "bacterial SSU rRNA". It matches the Rfam family "Bacterial small subunit ribosomal RNA", at positions 9 to 643 of the family's 1533-position model. The record is from RNAcentral.